ACGGGUGCGUAACGCGUACACAACGUGCCCAAGGGCGGAGGAAAGCGGCGGGAAACUGCCGGUAAUACUCCAUGGUGUUGUUGAGUGGCAUCACUUAACAACUAAAGUACAAGCGCCCUUGGAUCGGUGUGCGUUCGAUUAGCUAGUUGGCGGGGUAACGGCCCACCAAGGCUUCGAUCGAUAGGGGGUGUGAGAGCAUGACCCCCCCACACGGGUACUGAGACACGGGACCCGACUCCUACGGGAGGCAGCAGUAAGGAAUAUUGGACAAUGGGCGGAAGCCUGAUCCAGCCAUGCCGCGUGAAGGACGAAGGCGCUCAGCGUUGUAAACUUCUUUUGGAUGGGAACAUAACUCCGACUUGUCGGAACUUGAGGGUACCAUCAGAAUAAGCACCGGGCUAACUCCGUG
Molecule: ribosomal RNA, 409 nt
Filed under: uncultured bacterium
Lineage: Bacteria
Description: bacterial SSU rRNA
Rfam family: Bacterial small subunit ribosomal RNA
Source: RNAcentral